UCAUUUGAAGUAAAAUAAAUUACAUUAUACUCUAUUUUGACCAUAUGAUCAACACUUGUACAUAGUGCCAUUUAUUUUGUGUUCUUCACUCUCGCGCUGUGUUGUGAUCGUUCGAAACUCAUUGCCAGAACGAAUGCAAAUUUCAUUUGGGAAGGAUUGGUGCUGGAAGAUGCAGCGAAAAUCAUGAAAUGUUAAUAGAAAAGUGGUUAAGUAAAUCGUGAAAGAUGUCAACGCAGGCGUAAAUGCAGUAUGUUUUGUUACAUGAUCUACGGCUAUUUCAUCACCAAAGCUCCUGAUAACAGAUCAAAGCAGGUGGAUAGGGCAUACAGAGUCGCCGUUUAAUUUUAAAUAUCUUCGUGAUCGGCAAACGCAUCAAACAGCAAGGGUUUUUUUUCCAACACCACGCACCAUCGGUGGAGCAAGCAGCCAACGUUUUGUUCGCCCAGCGCGCACCAUCAUGAAUUGAAAUAUUCCCGAGUAGCUUUGUGAAUAAAAAACUACACACUUACUGUCCGAAUUUCCUGGAAUUUUUUGGUCGGUCUACGCUCGCGGGAAUGGUGGGUUCGUUGAGGAGAAGGAAAGAAAGGGUGGGAGCGAGGAUUAACCAAAAACGCGUCAUUGAGAAUGAGGGGAGGUGCGCUCAGUGCUCACGCUGGGACACUCACGAUGCUUGAAAUACAGUGGAGCGCCGUUUAUCCGGGUACCUUUUAUCCGGAUUUCCGUCUAUCCGUGCUGUUGAGAAAUGACAGUUCAAUACAAAGGUGACAUUGCGUUAUGAGGAGGGUAUUUAAAAAAGCGGUUGUAAGAGCACAUCAUAAUAACAAAAAACACUAUAAAUCAUGGCAAAUUUCAAAUAUUCUAAUGGAAAAAACAUGAAGUUAAUAAAAACUGGGUUAUUUUUAUCA
Anopheles arabiensis is the source of this 905-nucleotide long non-coding RNA. RefSeq lists it as uncharacterized. The transcript has 3 exons. The record is from RefSeq and is a predicted model, not a curated record. NCBI's taxonomy places the organism in Eukaryota, Metazoa, Arthropoda, Insecta, Diptera, Culicidae.